GCCAGGUGCAGUGGCACACGCCUGUAAUCCCAGUGGCUUCGGAGGCUGAGACAGGAGGAUCACAAGUUCAAAGCCAGCGUCAGCAAAAGUGAAGCGCUAAGCAACUCAGUGAGACCCUGUCUUUA
RNAcentral lists this small RNA (125 nucleotides) under Marmota monax (woodchuck). The record is from RNAcentral. Lineage: Eukaryota; Metazoa; Chordata; Mammalia; Rodentia; Sciuridae.